Molecule: ribosomal RNA, 381 nt
Filed under: uncultured eukaryote
Lineage: Eukaryota
Description: partial 18S ribosomal RNA
Rfam family: Eukaryotic small subunit ribosomal RNA
Source: RNAcentral
CAAUAGCGUAUAUUAAAGUUGUUGCAGUUAAAAAGCUCGUAGUUGGAUUUCUGGUCGAAGCGACCGGUCGGGCGUUGAUUCGUCUGCACUGGAGUCGGUUUUGGCCAUCCUCUAGGAAAGUGCGUCUGGUAUUAAGUUAUCGGGCGUAUGAUCCUGGUCUUUUACUGUGAAAAAAUUAGAGUGUUUAAAGCAGGCCUUCGCCUUGAAUACAUUAGCAUGGAAUAAUAAGAUAGGACUUUGGUCUAUUUUGUUGGUUUGCAGACCGAAGUAAUGAUUAAUAGGGAUAGUUGGGGGUAUUUAUAUUCCGAUGUCAGAGGUGAAAUUCUUAGAUUUUCGGAAGAUAAACUUAUGCGAAAGCAUUUACCAAGGAUGUUUNCAUUA